Echinops telfairi (small Madagascar hedgehog) is the source of this 561-nucleotide long non-coding RNA. RefSeq lists it as uncharacterized. The record is from RefSeq and is a predicted model, not a curated record. Lineage: Eukaryota; Metazoa; Chordata; Mammalia; Afrosoricida; Tenrecidae. The transcript has 2 exons.
CAGCAAACCUUGCCGUCUGACCUUGGGGCCCUGGGGAAGCAGGUUGGGGGUGGGGAGAGCAAGAGGACUCUGGCUUGGGAGAGGCUGCAGCACCAGGAACAGGCUGAAGGAAGGCUCUUGGACUCUGGCACCAGGGCCCACCCCACCCCUUACUGUUGGCAGCAACCCUCAAAGCCAAGCCGUGUCCUCAGCCAUCACAUCUUGGUUGAUUGUCGUGACCUUAAAACUAGCUUGAUGGCACUUGUGAACCAAUCCCUGGAUGACUUCGUCUGCCACAGGGCAUGCUGGAGUGGGGAUCCUGGGCGACCUAGGAUAUCUUUUAAAGGUCAUCUUGGAGUUUGGAACAGAAACAAGACAGUAGGCAGCAUCUGGUUCUGAAAGUCUCAACACCGAGCAAGCUGAAGGUGACACACACCCAGAAUCCGCAGGCACAGUGAGGCCUCCCCUAGAGGGUGUGCACACUGCUAGGACAAUGGGGUUCCUCUGAGGAUUUCGGCGCGGUUACAGUACCUGCUGCAUGCAGGGCAGACUCGGGGAGAUUAAAUAACCCACAAGACCUCG